GACGAACGCUGGCGGCGUGCUUAAUACAUGCAAUUCGAACGGGAUCCAAUUAGUAGCAAUACUAAGGAAGAUCUAGUGGCGAACGGGUGCGUAACACGUGAGCAACCUGCCUCGAAGACUGGGAUAACACCGGGAAACCGAUGCUAAUACCGGAUACCCCCACGGGCCCGCAUGGGUCUGUGAGGAAAGGAUUCCGCUUCGAGAGGGGCUCGCGGCCUAUCAGCUUGUUGGUGGGGUAAUGGCCUACCAAGGCAACGACGGGUAGCUGGUCUGAGAGGACGAUCAGCCACACUGGGACUGAGACACGGCCCAGACUCCUACGGGAGGCAGCAGUAGGGAAUCUUGCGCAAUGGGCGAAAGCCUGACGCAGCAACGCCGCGUGGGGGAUGAAGGCCUUCGGGUUGUAAACUCCUUUCAGUGGGAACGAAAUUGACGGUACCCACAGAAGAAGCCCCGGCUAACUACGUGCCAGCAGCCGCGGUGAUACGUAGGGGGCGAGCGUUGUCCGGAUUCACUGGGCGUAAAGAGCUCGUAGGCGGCUUGAUAAGUCGGGUGUGAAACCCCCAGGCUCAACCUGGGAUCGCCACUCGAUACUGUCAUGGCUAGAGUCCGGUAGGGGACCAUGGAAUUCCUGGUGUAGCGGUGAAAUGCGCAGAUAUCAGGAGGAACACCAGUAGCGAAGGCGGUGGUCUGGGCCGGUACUGACGCUGAGGAGCGAAAGCGUGGGGAGCGAACAGGAUUAGAUACCCUGGUAGUUCACGCUGUAAACGUUGGGCACUAGGUGUGGGGAGCUAUCGACGCUCUCCGUGCCGCAGCUAACGCAUUAAGUGCCCCGCCUGGGGAGUACGGCCGCAAGGCUAAAACUCAAAGGAAUUGACGGGGGCCCGCACAGCGGCGGAGCAUGUGGCUUAUUCGACGCAACGCGAAGAACCUUACCUGGGCUUGACAUGUGGGUUAAG
Molecule: ribosomal RNA, 959 nt
Filed under: uncultured bacterium
Lineage: Bacteria
Description: bacterial SSU rRNA
Rfam family: Bacterial small subunit ribosomal RNA
Source: RNAcentral